Molecule: ribosomal RNA, 491 nt
Filed under: uncultured bacterium
Lineage: Bacteria
Description: partial 16S ribosomal RNA
Rfam family: Bacterial small subunit ribosomal RNA
Source: RNAcentral
GAAUGAACGCUGGCGGCAUGCCUUACACAUGCAAGUCGAACGGCAGCAUGACCUAGCUUGCUAGGUUGAUGGCGAGUGGCGAACGGGUGAGUAAUGCAUCGGAACGUGCCUUUUAGUGGGGGAUAACGUAGCGAAAGUUACGCUAAUACCGCAUAUUCUCUGAGGAGGAAAGCAGGGGGCCUUCGGGCCUUGCGCUAGAAGAGCGGCCGAUGUCGGAUUAGCUAGUUGGUGAGGUAAAGGCUCACCAAGGCAACGAUCCGUAGCGGGUCUGAGAGGAUGAUCCGCCACACUGGGACUGAGACACGGCCCAGACUCCUACGGGAGGCAGCAGUGGGGAAUUUUGGACAAUGGGCGCAAGCCUGAUCCAGCCAUGCCGCGUGAGUGAAGAAGGCCUUCGGGUUGUAAAGCUCUUUCGGCUGGGAAGAAAUCGCACUCUCUAAUACAGGGUGUGGAUGACGGUACCAGCAGAAGAAGCACCGGCUAACUACGUG